UACGGGGGGGGCAAGCGUUGUUCGGAAUUACUGGGCGUAGAGGGCUUGUAGGUGGCCAACUAAGUCAGACGUGAAAUCCCUCGGCUUAACCGGGGAACUGCGUCUGAUACUGGAUGGCUGGAGUGUGGGAGAGGGAUGCGGAAUUCCAGGUGUAGCGGUGAAAUGCGUAGAUAUGCGGAGGAACACCGAUGGCGAAGGCAAUCCCCUGGACCUGUACUGACGCUCAUGCACGAAAGCGUGGGGAGCAAACAGG
RNAcentral lists this ribosomal RNA (253 nucleotides) under uncultured bacterium. RNAcentral's name for it is "partial 16S ribosomal RNA". It matches the Rfam family "Bacterial small subunit ribosomal RNA", at positions 524 to 776 of the family's 1533-position model. The record is from RNAcentral.